This is a long non-coding RNA of Hyla sarda, 359 nucleotides long. RefSeq lists it as uncharacterized. The record is from RefSeq and is a predicted model, not a curated record. Lineage: Eukaryota; Metazoa; Chordata; Amphibia; Anura; Hylidae. The transcript is spliced from 4 exons.
GCUGGAUUGUAAUUGGCCGCUUUCGCUUGUUUGUGGCCCCUGGUGACGGCUCCUCAUAGCAGUGCCAGCUGUCGGGAAGAGGGUCGGUCUGUCCUGCAUUGGCUUGGUGAAGAUUUGAAGAAGAUAUCCUUUGUCAUCAAAAUCAACCAAAAUUUUUAGCUCCUGAAAUAAGUUUUCAAGGUCCCUUUAACCUGUUGCUAUAUUACUCAUUGCUGUUGUAAUGAAAUCCUAGACGUCACCGGAGCAUUGGAGAAAAGAUUUACCGUAGUAAUAAGGGAAUAAAUAGUUCGGAAAGUAUUCAUACCCUUUCACUUUAGUCCACACUUGUUAUGUUGUGGCUUUGUGCUACUGAGAGAGAG